Branchiostoma belcheri (Belcher's lancelet) is the source of this 227-nucleotide long non-coding RNA. RefSeq lists it as uncharacterized. The transcript is spliced from 3 exons. The record is from RefSeq and is a predicted model, not a curated record. Lineage: Eukaryota; Metazoa; Chordata; Leptocardii; Amphioxiformes; Branchiostomatidae.
GUCCUGAUGUUCCUGUCCAAACCAGGCUAGAUGAGACAGCUGACUUUGAAGUUUAAGACAAAGUGAAGAGUUUGUACAGUUAGGUGUGUCCUGACGUUCCUGUACUGACUGGGAAAAAACUGCGAUGAAGGCUGAGCAAACAAGUUGACCUGCAGAAAGAAACGAAGACAGCAAAGCAGUGAGAGAAGACAGUGGGCACUUAUGCGGACCCGGAGACUGGACUGCAG